RNAcentral lists this unclassified non-coding RNA (383 nucleotides) under uncultured fungus. Its description in RNAcentral is "partial contains 5.8S ribosomal RNA and internal transcribed spacer 2". The stretch from base 1 to 133 matches the Rfam family "5.8S ribosomal RNA", at positions 22 to 154 of the family's 154-position model. Lineage: Eukaryota; Fungi. The record is from RNAcentral.
UGGCUCUCGCAUCGAUGAAGAACGCAGCGAAAUGCGAUAAGUAAUGUGAAUUGCAGAAUUCAGUGAAUCAUCGAAUCUUUGAACGCAUCUUGCGCUCCUUGGUAUUCCGAGGAGCAUGCCUGUUUGAGUGUCAUUUAAAUUAUCAACCUUUACCAGCUUUAUUGCUUGGUUUUAAAGGCUUGGAAGUGGGGGAAAACUUUGCAGGCUUAUUUUUCAAGUCAGCUCUCCUCAAAUAAAUUAGUGGUGCCCUUUGUGGUUAAACAACUAUUGGUAUGAUAACUAUCUAUGCCAUUAGAAUGCCCUUAGGUUGUUGCUGCUUCAAACUGUCUUUAUUGACAAUAUAUGACCAAUUUGACCUCAAAUCAGGUAGGACUACCCGCUGA